CUGUCUAUCAAAUCUAGGAGCGGUCGCUCAAAAUCGAUGCCUAAUUCUCCCAUUUCUAAAUCAUGCCCUAGCUCUUUUCCGAUCGAUUCAGUUCAGUUGUCUUCGCCGCAUGUGGAAGACCAGCGAAUCAGCAUCAUCUCAUCUUUCUACACACGAAGUCUAAAGUAUGAAGUCAGCGUCCUCUCAUCUCUCUGUUCUCUCUCAAACAAAAACCCUAAUAUUUCUCUAUGAAAUCGCUGCCGCGCACUGGUCCUGCCCAGCAUGCCGUUGUAAAUCGGCCACGCCUCUCGUUUAUUCUACUCUAUCAGAAACCGCCGCCGCUAUUGUCCUGUGAUUCGGCUAGAGUCGUCGUGCCGCUUGGUCACCGGGGUCGUUCCCUCCCUUUCGAAUUCAGGGAGAUGGGGCUUCCUCCCCCGUCCUCUGAGUUCCGGCAGAGAAGGGUAUGCCAAGAUGCCGUUGUUGCUAUUUUUCCGG
This 474-nucleotide long non-coding RNA is filed under the name Salvia miltiorrhiza (redroot sage). Its description in RNAcentral is "long non-coding RNA (SMIL_LNC001935)". The record is from RNAcentral. Lineage: Eukaryota; Viridiplantae; Streptophyta; Magnoliopsida; Lamiales; Lamiaceae.